CGUUAGCGGCGGACGGGUGAGUAACACGUGGGUAACCUACCUAUAAGACUGGGAUAACUUCGGGAAACCGGAGCUAAUACCGGAUAAUAUUUCGAACCGCAUGGUUCGAUAGUGAAAGAUGGUUUUGCUAUCACUUAUAGAUGGACCUGCGCCGUAUUAGCUAGUUGGUAAGGUAACGGCUUACCAAGGCGACGAUACGUAGCCGACCUGAGAGGGUGAUCGGCCACACUGGAACUGAGACACGGUCCAAACUCCUACGGGAGGCAGCAGCU
RNAcentral lists this ribosomal RNA (272 nucleotides) under uncultured Staphylococcus sp. RNAcentral's name for it is "partial 16S ribosomal RNA". It matches the Rfam family "Bacterial small subunit ribosomal RNA", at positions 90 to 355 of the family's 1533-position model. The record is from RNAcentral. Lineage: Bacteria; Bacillati; Bacillota; Bacilli; Caryophanales; Staphylococcaceae.